UACGGAGGGUGCAAGCGUUAUCCGGAUUCACUGGGUUUAAAGGGUGCGUAGGUGGGCAGGUAAGUCAGUGGUGAAAUCUCCGGGCUUAACUCGGAAACUGCCGUUGAUACUAUCUGUCUUGAAUAUCGUGGAGGUUAGCGGAAUAUGUCAUGUAGCGGUGAAAUGCUUAGAUAUGACAUAGAACACCAAUUGCGCAGGCAGCUUACUACACGGUAAUUGACACUGAGGCACGAAAGCGUGGGGAUCAAACAGG
This 253-nucleotide ribosomal RNA is filed under the name uncultured bacterium. Its description in RNAcentral is "partial 16S ribosomal RNA". It matches the Rfam family "Bacterial small subunit ribosomal RNA", at positions 524 to 776 of the family's 1533-position model. The record is from RNAcentral.